GUCUAAUUACCGGAUUAACAUGCCAUGAAGUAGCUGUUGAUUUGAAUUUCAAUAAUAUUCACCUAAGGGAUGAAUACUUCGAUCGUUCAAAAAGAAUUACUAUGAAUAGACUUUCUGAAGUAUUUCACAUGUGUGAAAAUCAAGAAGAUAAAUUCAAGUUAGGAUUAGUUAUGCUCGUCGAAUGCGUUUUAAAACCAAAUGGAAGAUACAUCGAUUUUAGAACCCUUGGAAUGGUUUAACAACUUGAUGAAUUUCUUAUGUAUCCGUGGGGACGUAAAGCAUACUUUGUUUUACUAAAUUCAUUGUAAGAAUCACACCUCGAAAGAAUACGAAGGAUGCAACAAAAUGACCAAACGGAUUGUAAAUAUUCGUUACAUGGUUAUCCAUUUGCAUUCCAGGUAUUUUUCUUUUAUUUUUUUCCCUAUUAAAUAUAAUUUAAUCAUAUAAAAACUUUAAUAUUUCUUUUAUUUUUAUUUCAGUAUUGGAUUUCUGAAUCUUUUCCUCAAAUCGGGUGACAAUUCGGGCGUCGUAUUCGUACACGCUUCCAGGUAUGAUCAUAUCAAUUUACAAUUAAAUAUGUAUUUCAUUAUUUAUAAAUAAAUUUCAAAUCAUAAAUCUAAUAUUUUAUUACAAUUAUAGAUCACAGUAAUUGCAGUAUUAAAUCUUACUGAAGAAGAAUUAGAAACAUUCUGGUAUACAAAUAUUUCACUACCAGCUGACAACCAACAUUGUAUACUAAAUAGCAUUGUCAAUGGUGAAUCCAACAAUAUAACAGAACAAAUUCCAG
Molecule: long non-coding RNA, 787 nt
Filed under: Olea europaea (common olive)
Lineage: Eukaryota; Viridiplantae; Streptophyta; Magnoliopsida; Lamiales; Oleaceae
Description: long non-coding RNA (OEUR_LNC012353)
Source: RNAcentral